UCCACUGUCUUCCCCAUGCCAGUGCAC
This 27-nucleotide non-coding RNA is filed under the name Rattus norvegicus (Norway rat). Lineage: Eukaryota; Metazoa; Chordata; Mammalia; Rodentia; Muridae. The record is from RNAcentral.